AGCACACAUACUUGUAACAUUUUCUUUCUUUCUUUUUAAUUACACACAGGGACAGAAUGAGAGGAGUAAACCCUUUAGCCGUUGAGGACAGCAAGAGCCUUCUCUUAAAUGUGACAUGAGUUGGGCUGCUGCUGCUGCUGCUGAUGGGGAAGAAGUUAAACAUUCUCGUGGAGAAGGAAAAGGUGCUGGAAAAGACGUGUGGAGACUGCACCGUUGGAAGGAGACAUAAAGAAACGAGAGAAGAAAAGAUGGCCCUGCUGAGCCAGGGACACCCGUGAAGAGAAGGCAUGUGUCCUCUAGAUGACGGCCGAUGUCCUCGGGGUCCUGGGACGCUUCCCCAGGCUUACUCCAUUUCCGCUGCUCCAAGAGGACAAGGACUCUAGCUUCCCAACCUAGCUCUGUCUAUC
This is a long non-coding RNA of Psammomys obesus (fat sand rat), 407 nucleotides long. RefSeq lists it as uncharacterized. The record is from RefSeq and is a predicted model, not a curated record. The transcript is spliced from 3 exons. Lineage: Eukaryota; Metazoa; Chordata; Mammalia; Rodentia; Muridae.